UACGGAGGGGGCUAGCGUUGUUCGGAAUUACUGGGCGUAAAGCGCACGUAGGCGGCUUUGCAAGUCAGAGGUGAAAGCCCGGGGCUCAACCCCGGAAUUGCCUUUGAGACUGCAUCGCUAGGAUUGUGGAGAGGUAAGUGGAAUUCCGAGUGUAGAGGUGAAAUUCGUAGAUAUUCGGAAGAACACCAGUGGCGAAGGCGACUUACUGGACACAUAUUGACGCUGAGGUGCGAAAGCGUGGGGAGCAAACAGG
Molecule: ribosomal RNA, 253 nt
Filed under: uncultured bacterium
Lineage: Bacteria
Description: partial 16S ribosomal RNA
Rfam family: Bacterial small subunit ribosomal RNA
Source: RNAcentral